Molecule: long non-coding RNA, 670 nt
Organism: Erinaceus europaeus (western European hedgehog)
Lineage: Eukaryota; Metazoa; Chordata; Mammalia; Eulipotyphla; Erinaceidae
Exons: 4
Source: RefSeq, a predicted model, not a curated record
GAGGGGGCGCGCCGGGGAAGGGGUGGAAGAAAGUGGGCUGGAGGAGGAGCGUCACAGAUAUCGUGACAAGUCGUUUCCGUGCGCCCGAGAGCGUGUGAAUUGCGCCUAAUUACUGUGUCCGGUGCGCCUCAGCAUAGACAUGGUGUCGGACGCUGGACGCGGAUCCCGGAGUACUUCCGGGGCCGAGCUCAGGUCGCCGGGGGCCCCAGGAGCGGUUUUAACUUUCGCCUGACUCUCCUGUUCUGACGUCACGGGCCAGAGGAGCAGCCCGGCCUGCCGACGAGAUUUUUGCGACAGUUAAUGGAGUCAAGUUGGUGAAAGAUCACAAGCAGAAAGAGCUCAGCUGGUGGCAGUCUUUAAAAAUUUACUCAUGAGUUGGAUGAAAAAAAAUAGGACGAUUCCAAGAUUGUUGGCCUUAACAAAAAAGGAAUUUUCCAUUUAAGGACAUGAAAGAGAGUAAGAAAAGUAAGUUUAUGGAAAAGCAGGAAUUUGUGGUUCAGUUUUGACUAUGUCUAAACAAAGUAGUCAUUUUGUGUAAGUAGUUCUAUAUAUAAACAUCUGGAGUUCAGGAGAAAACUUGAGUUGGAGUUAUAACUUCAUAUGUGGCAUUUAGAGUCUUAAGAGUGAAUAAGAUAGGGCACCAAAGUAAAAACCCUAUGGUGAGGGGUAG